AUUAAGAUAGCUUAAGUUAAAGCGUAAUAUUGAAGAUAUUAAUAUGGGGCCACCCUCUUGAUA
RNAcentral lists this transfer RNA (63 nucleotides) under Tropidothorax sinensis. Its description in RNAcentral is "tRNA-Phe". Lineage: Eukaryota; Metazoa; Arthropoda; Insecta; Hemiptera; Lygaeidae. The record is from RNAcentral.